This 430-nucleotide ribosomal RNA is filed under the name bacterium. Its description in RNAcentral is "bacterial SSU rRNA". It matches the Rfam family "Bacterial small subunit ribosomal RNA", at positions 354 to 776 of the family's 1533-position model. The record is from RNAcentral.
GUGGGGAAUUUUGGACAAUGGGGGCAACCCUGAUCCAGCCAUCCCGCGUGUGCGAUGAAGGCCUUCGGGUUGUAAAGCACUUUUGGCAGGGAAGAAACAGCCUGGGAUAAUACCCCGGGCGACUGACGGUACCUGCAGAAUAAGCACCGGCUAACUACGUGCCAGCAGCCGCGGUAAUACGUAGGGUGCAAGCGUUAAUCGGAAUUACUGGGCGUAAAGCGUGCGCAGGCGGUUCGGAAAGAAAGGUGUGAAAUCCCAGGGCUUAACCUUGGAACUGCACUUUUAACUACCGAGCUAGAGUACGUCAGAGGGGGGUAGAAUUCCACGUGUAGCAGUGAAAUGCGUAGAGAUGUGGAGGAAUACCGAUGGCGAAGGCAGCCCCCUGGGAUGAUACUGACGCUCAUGCACGAAAGCGUGGGGAGCAAACAGG